CACAAGGGGUGAAGCCUGCGGUUCAAUUGGAGUCAACGCCAGGAAACUUACCAGGAGAGACAGCAGGUUGAGGGUCAGUCUGAAGAACUUACCUGACGAGCUGAGAGGAGGUGCAUGGCCGUCGCCAGCUCGUGCCGUGAGGCGUCCUGUUAAGUCAGGCAACGAGCGAGACCCCUAUCAGUAAUUGCUAACUGCUCAGAGAUGAGUAGAGGCUAGUUACAGAGACUGCCGUUGAUAAAACGGAGGAAGGAAGGGGCCACGGCAGGUCAGUAUGCCCCGAAACUCCUGGGCCACACGCGGGCUGCAAUGGUAGGGACAAUAGGUUCCGACCUCGAAAGAGGAAGGCAAUCCCCAAACCCUACCCCAGUUGUGAUCGAGGAUUGAAACCCGUCCUCGUGAAUAUGGAAUCCCUAGUAACCGCGUGUCAUCACCGCGCGGUGAAUACGUCCCUGCUCC
This 456-nucleotide ribosomal RNA is filed under the name uncultured archaeon. RNAcentral describes it as "bacterial SSU rRNA". It matches the Rfam family "Archaeal small subunit ribosomal RNA", at positions 880 to 1336 of the family's 1478-position model. The record is from RNAcentral.